RNAcentral lists this microRNA (24 nucleotides) under Ciona intestinalis (vase tunicate). RNAcentral describes it as "Cin-Mir-3598_5p (mature (guide))". The record is from RNAcentral. Lineage: Eukaryota; Metazoa; Chordata; Ascidiacea; Phlebobranchia; Cionidae.
UCACAGUGGUUAUAUACUGCCUGU